CAGUCGCCGCGGUAAUACGUAGGUGGCAAGCGUUGUCCGGAAUUAUUGGGCGUAAAGGGCUCGCAGGCGGUUUCUUAAGUCUGAUGUGAAAGCCCCCGGCUCAACCGGGGAGGGUCAUUGGAGACUGUCAAACUUGAGUGCAGAAGGGGAGAGUGGAAUUCCAUGUGUAGCGGUGAAAUGCGUAGAUAUAUGGAGGAACACCGGUGGCGAAGGCGGCUCUCUGGUCUGUAACUGACGCUGAGGCUCGAAAGCGUGGGGAGCGAACAGGAUUAGAUACCCCAGUAGUCCCUGUCUCUUAUAC
RNAcentral lists this ribosomal RNA (301 nucleotides) under uncultured bacterium. RNAcentral describes it as "partial 16S ribosomal RNA". It matches the Rfam family "Bacterial small subunit ribosomal RNA", at positions 509 to 807 of the family's 1533-position model. The record is from RNAcentral.